AGUAACCGGAGGAAAGGACAUCAACCGAGACUCCGUUAGUAGUGGCGAGCGAACGCGGACUAGGCCAGUGGCUANUUGCGUAAGAACCGGAANCGUCUGGAAAGNCGNGCCANAGNGGGUGAUAGCCCCGUACGGGUAGAAAGCNNUNNNGUCCUUGAGUAGGGCGGGACACGUGAAAUCCUGUCUGAACGUGGGGGGACCACCCUCCAAGCCUAAGUACUCCUUAGUGACCGAUAGUGAACUAGUACCGUGAGGGAAAGGUGAAAAGUACCCCGACGAGGGGAGUGAAAGAGACCUGAAACCGAUUGCUUACAAGCAGUAGGAGCAUCNUUANGNUGUGACUGCGUACCUNUUGCAUAAUGGGUCAGCGAGUUAAUUUUGCGAGCAAGCUUAAGCCGNUAGGUGUAGGCGUAGCGAAAGCGAGUCUUAAUAGGGCGNUANAGUUCGUAGGAUUAGACCCGAAACCUGGUGAUCUAGCCAUGGGCAGGUUGAAGGUGCGGUAACACGCACUGGAGGACCGAACCCACCUAUGUUGAAAAAUGGGGGGAUGACCUGUGGCUAGGGGUGAAAGGCCAAUCAAACCAGGAGAUAGCUGGUUCUCCGCGAAAUCUAUUUAGGUAGAGCGUUGCAUGUUUACCAUCGGGGGUAGAGCACUGGAUGGGCUAGGGGGUCCCACAGACUUACCAAACCUAACCAAACUCCGAAUACCGAUGAGUAUAGUGCAGCAGACAGACUCAGGGUGCUAAGGUCCUGGGUCGAAAGGGAAACAGCCCAGACCGCCAGCUAAGGUCCCUAAGUUAUGGCUAAGUGGGAAAGGAUGUGGGAAGUCCAAGACAACCAGGAGGUUGGCUUAGAAGCAGCCAUCCUUUAAAGAAAGCGUAACAGCUCACUGGUCUAGUUAAGACGUCCUGCGCCGAAGAUGUACCGGGGCUAAAGCCAUACACCGAAGCUGCGGACACGUGCUUGCACGUGUGGUAGCGGAGCGUUCCGUAGGCCUGUGAAGGUGGCUCGUGAGAGCUGCUGGAGGUAUCGGAAGUGAGAAUGCUGACAUGAGUAGCGACAAAGCGGGUGAGAAACCCGCUCGCCGAAAGUCCAAGGGUUCCUGCGCAAGGCUAAUCCGCGCAGGGUGAGUCGGCCCCUAAGCCGAGGGCGAAAGCCGUAGGCGAUGGGAAUCCGGUUAAUAUUCCGGAACCUGAGGGUAGUGACGAAUGCUGUAAGUUGUCUGUUCUUAUUGGAUUGAGNAGGCAGCGAAGGUGUUCCAGGAAAUAACUCCCUCGUAUAGACCGUACCCCAAACCAACACAGGUGGACUGGUAGAGCAUACCAAGGCGCUUGAGAGAACUAUGCUGAAGGAACUCGGCAAAAUUCACCCGUAACUUCGGGAUAAGGGUGACCUGCGUUUGGGCAACCAGACGGAGGUGGCACAAAAUUGGGGGUGGCGACUGUUUACUAAAAACAUAGGGCUCUGCGAAGUCGCAAGACGACGUAUAGGGUCUGACGCCUGCCCGGUGCCGGAAGGUUAAGAGGAGAGGUGAGAGCUUUGAAUCGAAGCCCCGGUAAACGGCGGCCGUAACGAUAACGGUCCUAAGGUAGCGAAAUUCCUUGUCGGGUAAGUUCCGACCUGCACGAAUGGCGUAACGACUUCCCCGCUGUCUCCAGCAUCGACUCAGUGAAAUUGAACUCCCCGUGAAGAUGCGGGGUUCCUGCGGUCAGACGGAAAGACCCCGUGCACCUUUACUAUAGCUUUGCAGUGGCAUUAGUGUCGGCAUGUGUAGGAUAGGUGGUAGACUUUGAAACUCAGGCGCCAGUCUGAGUGGAGUCACCCUUGAAAUACCACCCUUAUCGUCAUUGAUGUCUAACCGCGGACCGUUAUCCGGUUCCGGGACCCUGCAUGGUGGGUAGUUUGACUGGGGCGGUCGCCUCCCAAAGAGUAACGGAGGCGCGCGAAGGUAGGCUCAGGCCGGUCGGAAAUCGGUCGUUGAGUGCAAUGGCA
RNAcentral lists this ribosomal RNA (1992 nucleotides) under metagenome. RNAcentral describes it as "bacterial LSU rRNA". It matches the Rfam family "Bacterial large subunit ribosomal RNA", at positions 205 to 2359 of the family's 2925-position model. The record is from RNAcentral.